UUUCCGUAGGUGAACCUGCGGAAGGAUCAUUAAAAAAUGGUACUCUAUUUGUGAGUGCAUUAAUAAUCCAUCCUACCCUUUGUGAAUUUGUUGUAUGAAAUAAUUUUUUUUAAAAAAAAUUAUUGAAUGUCUUUCCCUGUUGAAAAGUUUGGUCGUAAGACUUGAUUUUCACAGGGGAUAGUCAAUAAUUUUUUUAAAAAGACCUUUUUUUAAAUAAACUUUUUGUAUUCAUUUGUCUAAAAAUUAUUUUUAUAAUAUAAAAACAACUUUUGACAAUGGAUCUCUUGGUUCUCGCAACGAUGAAGAACGCAGCAAAAUGCGAUAAGUAGUGUGAAUUGCAGAAUACGUGAAUCAUCGAAUCUUCGAACGCAUAUUGCACUUUUUUAGUUUACUAAAAAAGUAUGUCUGUUUGAGUAUCAGUAAAAUAUUCUCAUAAAAACUUUUUUGUUUUUAUGGUUUAUGAGUGUUUUACAACGAUACAAGUUGUUUCACUUUAAAUUUUUUUUUAAAAUUUGAAUUUUUCUAAUUUUAAAUUAAAAUUGGAUAAAAUUUUCCUGUAAAAAGGAAUAAUUAAACAAUUUUAAAUUGAAUUUAGAAAAUCCAAAAUAAAAGGAAAAUUUAUUACAAAAUAACUUGAUCUCAAAUCAGAUAAGAGUACCCGCUGAACUUAAGCAUAUCAAUAAGCGGAGGAAAAGAAACUAACAAGGAUUCCCUUAGUAACGGCGAGUGAAGCGGGAAGAGCUCAAAUUUGAAAUCUUCAAGGUUUUACCUUGACGAAUUGUAGUUUAAAGAAGUGUAUUCUGUUGAAGUUUCGGUAAAAGUUCUUUGGAAUAGGACAUCAUAGAGGGUGAGAAUCCCGUAUUUGACCGUUAUUUUCAGCUGUGUGAUACACUUUCAAAGAGUCGGAUUGUUUGGGAAUGCAGUCCAAAAUGGGUGGUAAAUUUCAUCUAAAGCUAAAUACUGGCGAGAGACCGAUAGCGAACAAGUACCGUGAGGGAAAGAUGAAAAGAACUUUGAAAAGAGAGUUAAACAGUACGUGAAAUUGUCAAAAGGGAAGCGUUUGACACCAGUGUUGUUGUGGAGAAAUCAAUUGUGUGGAACGGGUUGUUGUGGGGUUGAGACCUUAUCAGCUCUCCUUACUCUUUACCUUUUUCACGCAAUGCACUUUCUCUUUAACAAGUCAACAUCAAUUUCUUUUGUUGUAAAAGGGUCAGCGGAAGGUGGCUUUCUUUUCGGAGAAAGUGUUUAUAGCCGUUGAUCUCUACAAUCGGAGAGAUUGAGGUCUGCAGCGUAGAUCCUUCGGGGUUAGAUACGUCGGUGCUAAGUUAUAAUCCUAUAUAGACAACUUGUUGACUAUAUUCGAUCUUGUAGCUUACUCGCUGGCGCUAUUUUACCUACGCUUAGGAUGUUG
This 1411-nucleotide unclassified non-coding RNA is filed under the name uncultured Neocallimastigales. RNAcentral's name for it is "partial contains small subunit ribosomal RNA, internal transcribed spacer 1, 5.8S ribosomal RNA, internal transcribed spacer 2, and large subunit ribosomal RNA". The stretch from base 635 to 1411 matches the Rfam family "Eukaryotic large subunit ribosomal RNA", at positions 1 to 628 of the family's 3401-position model. The record is from RNAcentral. Lineage: Eukaryota; Fungi; Neocallimastigomycota; Neocallimastigomycetes; Neocallimastigales.